GUUUUUAUAAUUUAAAGAAAAUAUUAGUCUUGUAAACUAAAUUUAAGUAAACACUUUAAAAACA
Molecule: transfer RNA, 64 nt
Filed under: Nalassus laevioctostriatus
Lineage: Eukaryota; Metazoa; Arthropoda; Insecta; Coleoptera; Tenebrionidae
Description: tRNA-Thr
Rfam family: tRNA
About the family: Transfer RNA (tRNA) molecules are approximately 80 nucleotides in length. Their secondary structure includes four short double-helical elements and three loops (D, anti-codon, and T loops). Further hydrogen bonds mediate the characteristic L-shaped molecular structure. tRNAs have two regions of fundamental functional importance: the anti-codon, which is responsible for specific mRNA codon recognition, and the 3' end, to which the tRNAs corresponding amino acid is attached (by aminoacyl-tRNA synthetases). tRNAs cope with the degeneracy of the genetic code in two manners: having more than one tRNA (with a specific anti-codon) for a particular amino acid; and 'wobble' base-pairing, i.e. permitting non-standard base-pairing at the 3rd anti-codon position.
Source: RNAcentral